RNAcentral lists this ribosomal RNA (439 nucleotides) under uncultured bacterium. RNAcentral describes it as "partial 16S ribosomal RNA". It matches the Rfam family "Bacterial small subunit ribosomal RNA", at positions 339 to 795 of the family's 1533-position model. The record is from RNAcentral.
CUACGGGACGCUCCAGUGGGGAAUCUUAGACAAUGGGGGAAACCCUGAUCUAGCCAUGCCGCGUGAGCGACGACGGCCCUAGGGUUGUAAAGCUCUUUCAGCAGGGAAGAUAAUGACGGUACCUGCAGAAGAAGUCCCGGCUAACUCCGUGCCAGCAGCCGCGGUAAUACGGAGGGGACUAGCGUUGUUCGGAAUUACUGGGCGUAAAGCGCGCGUAGGCGGAUUGUUAAGUCGGGGGUGAAAUCCCGGGGCUCAACCCCGGAACUGCCCUCGAUACUGGCAGUCUUGAGUUCGAGAGAGGUGAGUGGAAUUCCGGGUGUAGAGGUGAAAUUCGUAGAUAUUCGGAGGAACACCAGUGGCGAAGGCGGCUCACUGGCUCGAUACUGACGCUGGGGUGCGAAAGCGUGGGGAGCAAACAGGAUUAGAUACCCUUGUAGUC